GGGUGCGAUCAUACCAACACUAAUGCACCGGAUCCCAUCAGAACUCUGCAGUUAAGCGUGCUUAGACGAAAGUAGUACUAGGAUGGGUGAUCUCCCGGAAAGUUCUCGUGUUGCACCUC
Non-coding RNA from Brassica napus (rape), 119 nucleotides. NCBI's taxonomy places the organism in Eukaryota, Viridiplantae, Streptophyta, Magnoliopsida, Brassicales, Brassicaceae. The record is from Rfam.